GACGAACGCUGGCGGCGUGCCUAAUACAUGCAAGUUGAGCGCUGAAGGUUGGUACUUGUACCAACUGGAUGAGCAGCGAACGGGUGAGUAACGCGUGGGGAAUCUGCCUUUGAGCGGGGGAGAACAUUGGAAAACAAAUGCCAAUACCCCUUAAAACUUUUAACCAAAGGUUUCAGGUUUAAAUAUGGCAUUGCAAUAAUCAAAGAAUCUACCCGGGUUUAAUUAGUUAGUUGGGGAGGUAAAGGCCCACCAAGCGGUUGAUACAUAGCCGGCCUGAGAGGGUGAUCGGCCACAUUGGGAAUGAGACACGGCCCAAACUCCUACGGGAGGCAGCAGUAGGGAAUCUUCGGCAAUGGACGAAAGUCUGACCGAGCAACGCCGCGGGAGUGAAGAAGGUUUUCGGAUCGGAAAACUCUGUUGGUAGAGAAGAACGUUGGUGGGAGUGGAAAGCUCAUCAAGUGACGGUAACUACCCAGAAAGGGACGGCUAACUACGUG
RNAcentral lists this ribosomal RNA (497 nucleotides) under uncultured bacterium. RNAcentral's name for it is "partial 16S ribosomal RNA". It matches the Rfam family "Bacterial small subunit ribosomal RNA", at positions 28 to 507 of the family's 1533-position model. The record is from RNAcentral.